Molecule: ribosomal RNA, 251 nt
Filed under: uncultured bacterium
Lineage: Bacteria
Description: partial 16S ribosomal RNA
Rfam family: Bacterial small subunit ribosomal RNA
Source: RNAcentral
UGGGUUAAAUCCACCCGAACCUUGCAGAGAUGUGAGGGUGCUCUUCGGAGAGCGGGUGAGAAGGUGCUGCAUGGCUGUCGUAAGCUCGUGUCGUGAGAUGUUGGGUUAAGUCCCGCAACGAGCGCAACCCUCGUCGUUAGUUGCUAACGGUUCGGCCGAGCACUCUAACGAGACUGCCGACGUUAAGUCGGAGGAAGGUGGGGAUGACGUCAAGUCCUCAUCGGCCCUUUAUCGCCCCGAGGGGCUACACA